This 465-nucleotide ribosomal RNA is filed under the name Vreelandella stevensii. RNAcentral's name for it is "partial 16S ribosomal RNA". It matches the Rfam family "Bacterial small subunit ribosomal RNA", at positions 338 to 795 of the family's 1533-position model. The record is from RNAcentral. Lineage: Bacteria; Pseudomonadati; Pseudomonadota; Gammaproteobacteria; Oceanospirillales; Halomonadaceae.
CCUACGGGUGGCUGCAGUGGGGAAUAUUGGACAAUGGGGGCAACCCUGCUCCAGCCAUGCCGCGUGUGUGAAGAAGGCCCUCGGGUUGUAAAGCACUUUCAGUGAGGAAGAACGCCUGGUGGUUAAUACCCAUCAGGAAAGACAUCACUCACAGAAGAAGCACCGGCUAACUCCGUGCCAGCAGCCGCGGUAAUACGGAGGGUGCGAGCGUUAAUCGGAAUUACUGGGCGUAAAGCGCGCGUAGGUGGCUUGAUAAGCCGGUUGUGAAAGCCCCGGGCUCAACCUGGGAACGGCAUCCGGAACUGUCAAGCUAGAGUGCAGGAGAGGAAGGUAGAAUUCCCGGUGUAGCGGUGAAAUGCGUAGAGAUCGGGAGGAAUACCAGUGGCGAAGGCGGCCUUCUGGACUGACACUGACACUGAGGUGCGAAAGCGUGGGUAGCAAACAGGAUUAGAUACCCGUGUAGUC